AAAAUGCGAUAAGUAAUGUGAAUUGCAGAAUUCAGUGAAUCAUCGAAUCUUUGAACGCACAUUGCGCCCGCCAGUAUUCUGGCGGGCAUGCCUGUUCGAGCGUCAUUUCAACCCUCAAGCCCCCGGGUUUGGUGUUGGGGAUCGGGCUGCGGUUCUACCGCGUCCCGGCCCCGAAAUCUAGUGGCGGUCUCGCUGCAGCCUCCAUUGCGUAGUAGCUAACACCUCGCAACUGGAACGCGGCGCGGCCAAGCCGUUAAAUCCCCAACUUCUGAAUGUUGACCUCGGAUCAGGUAGGAAUACCCGCUGAACUUAAGC
Molecule: unclassified non-coding RNA, 315 nt
Filed under: plant metagenome
Description: partial contains 5.8S ribosomal RNA, internal transcribed spacer 2, and large subunit ribosomal RNA
Rfam family: 5.8S ribosomal RNA (bases 1-105)
Source: RNAcentral